GGGGAAUCUUGCGCAAUGGGCGAAAGCCUGACGCAGCAACGCCGCGUGCGGGAUGAAGGCCUUCGGGUUGUAAACCGCUUUCAGCAGGGACGAAGAUGACGGUACCUGCAGAAGAAGCCCCGGCCAACUACGUGCCAGCAGCCGCGGUAACACGUAGGGGGCGAGCGUUGUCCGGAUUUAUUGGGCGUAAAGAGCUCGUAGGCGGUUCCGUCAGUCGGGUGUGAAAACUCUGGGCUCAACCCAGAGACGCCACCCGAUACUGCGGUGACUAGAGUCCGGUAGGGGAGUGCGGAAUUCCUGGUGUAGCGGUGAAAUGCGCAGAUAUCAGGAGGAACACCAACGGCGAAGGCAGCACUCUGGGCCGGUACUGACGCUGAGGAGCGAAAGCGUGGGGAGCGAAC
Molecule: ribosomal RNA, 401 nt
Filed under: uncultured bacterium
Lineage: Bacteria
Description: bacterial SSU rRNA
Rfam family: Bacterial small subunit ribosomal RNA
Source: RNAcentral